Molecule: transfer RNA, 68 nt
Filed under: Rhineura floridana
Lineage: Eukaryota; Metazoa; Chordata; Lepidosauria; Squamata; Rhineuridae
Description: tRNA-Phe
Source: RNAcentral
GUUAUUGUAGCUUAACUAUAAAGCAUGACACUGAAGAUGUCACACUGGGCCCCACAGCCCCAAAAACA